This is a non-coding RNA of Glossina morsitans morsitans, 72 nucleotides long. The record is from Rfam. NCBI's taxonomy places the organism in Eukaryota, Metazoa, Arthropoda, Insecta, Diptera, Glossinidae.
UCCCAUAUGUUCCAUUGGCUACGAUAUUUGGCUUUCAACCAGAAGGCCUGGAUUCGAUUUCUGGAAUGGAAA